UCCUAGUUAACCUAGGCAGUCUCAUUAGAGUCCCCACCUUCACGUGUUGGCAACUAAUGAUAAGGGUUGCGCUCGUUGCGGGACUUAACCCAACACCUCACGGCACGAGCUGACGACAGCCAUGCAGCACCUAUACAGCGGUCCUUGCGGAACACAUCAUUUCUGAUGCUGUCCACUGCAUUUCGAGCCUGGGUAAGGUUCUUCGCGUUGCAUCGAAUUAAACCACAUGCUCCACUGCUUGUGCGGGCCCCCGUCAAUUCUUUUGAGUUUCACCCUUGCGAGCGUACUCCUCAGGCGGUAUACUUAUCGCGUUAGCUACGACACAGCCAGGGUUGAGCCUAACUACAUCAAGUAUACAUCGUUUACGGCAAGGACUAC
Molecule: unclassified non-coding RNA, 378 nt
Filed under: uncultured Simkaniaceae bacterium
Lineage: Bacteria; Pseudomonadati; Chlamydiota; Chlamydiia; Parachlamydiales; Simkaniaceae
Description: contains 16S-23S intergenic spacer region
Source: RNAcentral